GCUGGGCAUGGUGUCACAUUCCUGUAAUCCCAGUGGCUUAGGAGGCUGAGACAGUAGAAUUGCUAGUUCAAAGCUAGCUUCAGCAAAAGUGAGAUGCUAAGCAACUCAGUGAGACCCUGUCUCUA
This 125-nucleotide small RNA is filed under the name Marmota monax (woodchuck). The record is from RNAcentral. Lineage: Eukaryota; Metazoa; Chordata; Mammalia; Rodentia; Sciuridae.